GGUUAGUCUGAUGGUAGUGAGUUAUCAGAACUUAUUAACAUUAGCGUCACUAAUAGGUAUACAACUCCCCACUGCUAAAUUUGGCUAAAAAG
Molecule: non-coding RNA, 92 nt
Filed under: Colobus angolensis palliatus
Lineage: Eukaryota; Metazoa; Chordata; Mammalia; Primates; Cercopithecidae
Source: RNAcentral